This 497-nucleotide ribosomal RNA is filed under the name uncultured bacterium. RNAcentral's name for it is "partial 16S ribosomal RNA". It matches the Rfam family "Bacterial small subunit ribosomal RNA", at positions 28 to 507 of the family's 1533-position model. The record is from RNAcentral.
GACGAACGCUGGCGGCGUGCCUAAUACAUGCAAGUUGAGCGCUGAAGGUUGGUACUUGUCCCAACUGGAUGAGCAGCGAACGGGUGAGUAACGCGUGGGGAAUCUGCCUUUGAGCGGGGGACAACAUUUGGAAACGAAUGCUAAUACCGCAUAAAAACUUUAAACACAAGUUUUAAGUUUGAAAGAUGCAAUUGCAUCACUCAAAGAUGAUCCCGCGUUGUAUUAGCUAGUUGGUGAGGUAAAGGCUCACCAAGGCGAUGAUACAUAGCCGACCUGAGAGGGUGAUCGGCCACAUUGGGACUGAGACACGGCCCAAACGCCUACGGGAGGCAGCAGUAGGGAAUCGUCGGCAAUGGACGAAAGUCUGACCGAGCAACGCCGCGGGAGUGAAGAAGGGUGUCGGAUCGUAAAACUCUGUUGGUAGAGAAGAACGUUGGUGAGAGUGGAAAGCUCAUCAAGUGACGGUAACUACCCAGAAAGGGACGGCUAACUACGUG